AUACGUAGGGGGCGAGCGUUGUCCGGAAUGAUUGGGCGUAAAGGGCGCGUAGGCGGCGCGGUAAGUCUGGAGUGAAAGUCCUGCUUUCAAGAUGGGAAUUGCUUUGGAUACUGAUGGGCUUGAGUGCAGGAGAGGUUAUCGGAAUUCCCGGUGUAGCGGUGAAAUGCGUAGAGAUCGGGAGGAACACCAGUGGCGAAGGCGGGUAACUGGGCUGCAACUGACGCUGAGGCGCGAAAGUGUGGGGAGCAAACAGGAUUAGAUACCCUGGUAGUCCACACUGUAAACGAUGAAUGCUAGGUGUAAGAGGUAUCGACCCCUUUUGUGCCGGAGUUAACACAAUAAGCAUUCCGCCUGGGGAGUACGGCCGCAAGGUUGAAACUCAAAGGAAUUGACGGGG
This 397-nucleotide ribosomal RNA is filed under the name uncultured bacterium. RNAcentral describes it as "partial 16S ribosomal RNA". It matches the Rfam family "Bacterial small subunit ribosomal RNA", at positions 523 to 918 of the family's 1533-position model. The record is from RNAcentral.